GAUGAACGCUGGCGGCGUGCUUAACACAUGCAAGUCGAGCGGACAGACCAUGCGCUUGCUGGUCUGACGUGAGCGGCGGAGGGGAGAGUAACAUGUGUAUACCCCCCCUGUAAUUCUGGGAUAACUACGGGAAACCGGAUCUAACACCGUAUAAUAUAUUGAACCGCGUUGGUCAAUAGUAAAAUUCGGUGUUGCUGUCAGUUAUAGAUGGUUCCGCGCUGCUUUAGGUGGUUGGUGAGGUAACGGCUUAUGAAGGCGACGAUGCGUAGGCGAACUCAGAGGGGGAUAGGCCACACUGGAGGUGAGACACGGUCACGAGUCCUACGGGAGGCCCCAGUAGCGAAUCUUAGGCAAUGGGCGAGAGCCUGACGGAGCAGCGCGGAGUGAGUGACGAAGGUCUUCGGAUCGUAAAACUCUCUUAUUAGGGAAGAACAGCUGUGUAAUUAAAUAUGCACGUAUUGACGGUAACUAAUAAGAAAGCCCCGGCUAACUACGUG
This 497-nucleotide ribosomal RNA is filed under the name uncultured bacterium. RNAcentral describes it as "partial 16S ribosomal RNA". It matches the Rfam family "Bacterial small subunit ribosomal RNA", at positions 28 to 507 of the family's 1533-position model. The record is from RNAcentral.